This 433-nucleotide ribosomal RNA is filed under the name uncultured bacterium. RNAcentral describes it as "partial 16S ribosomal RNA". It matches the Rfam family "Bacterial small subunit ribosomal RNA", at positions 29 to 507 of the family's 1533-position model. The record is from RNAcentral.
AACGAACGCUGGCGGCAUGCCUAACACAUGCAAGUCGAACGAGACCUUCGGGUCUAGUGGCGCACGGGUGCGUAACGCGUGGGAACCUGCCCUUAGGUUCGGAAUAACUCCCCGAAAGGGGUGCUAAUACCGGAUAAUGUCUUCGGACCAAAGAUUUAUCGCCUUUGGAUGGGCCCGCGUUGGACUAGCUAGUUGGUAGGGUAAAAGCCUACCAAGGCGACGAUCCAUAGCUGGUCUGAGAGGGUGAUCAGCCACACUGGGACUGAGACACGGCCCAGACUCCUACGGGAGGCAGCAGUGGGGAAUAUUGGACAAUGGGCGAAAGCCUGAUCCAGCAAUGCCGCGUGAGUGAUGAAGGCCUUAGGGUUGUAAAGCUCUUUUACCCGGGAUGAUAAUGACAGUACCGGGAGAAUAAGCUCCGGCUAACUCCGUG